GGGUGCGUAGUUUAGUGGUAAAAUAGGCGGCUCCAGCCCGCCAGCUGGGGGUUCGAUUCCCUCCGCGCCCA
This 71-nucleotide transfer RNA is filed under the name Nanobdellota archaeon. RNAcentral's name for it is "tRNA-Trp". It matches the Rfam family "tRNA". From Rfam's summary of the family: Transfer RNA (tRNA) molecules are approximately 80 nucleotides in length. Their secondary structure includes four short double-helical elements and three loops (D, anti-codon, and T loops). Further hydrogen bonds mediate the characteristic L-shaped molecular structure. tRNAs have two regions of fundamental functional importance: the anti-codon, which is responsible for specific mRNA codon recognition, and the 3' end, to which the tRNAs corresponding amino acid is attached (by aminoacyl-tRNA synthetases). tRNAs cope with the degeneracy of the genetic code in two manners: having more than one tRNA (with a specific anti-codon) for a particular amino acid; and 'wobble' base-pairing, i.e. permitting non-standard base-pairing at the 3rd anti-codon position. The record is from RNAcentral. Lineage: Archaea; Nanobdellati; Nanobdellota.